GAUGAUUUAAAUAGUGAAACCCGGUCAUGUGACGAGGACUCACUGGCUCCGUGUGUUUGCAUACGUGUCCUUCCUCUCUGCUCACACGCCUUAAGAGAGCUGAUCAGUGGCGGUCCAGGCCUCACGCACACUGGCACGCCGGCAGCACAAUGAUGAUGUCACUGAGUCUACUGCUGACCAGCCUGGGGCUCCUUGUUCAGGGUUCAUCAGGAGAAAUCCAGCUGACUCAGUCUCCUGGAUCUCAGUCUGUUCUUCCAGGACAGACUGUCUCCAUCAGGUGUAAAGCCAGUUCUGGCAUUAGUACCUACCUUCACUGGUACCUACAGAAACCAGAAGAAUCUCCCAAACUUUUGAUUUAUCGUGCCUCAAGUCGUCAGUCAGGGAUCUCAGAUCGUUUCAGUGGAAGUGGAUCUGGAAGUGACUUCACUCUGACCAUCAGAGGAGUUCUGACUGAAGAUGCAGGAGAUUAUUAUUGUCAGCAGGGUUACAGCCAGUUCACACAGUGAAACAACGUCGUACAAAAACCUCCUCAGCUGGAGAGGAACUGAUCCACUCAACAGCUGCACAGGAACACUUUACGUUUGAGUGACACUUCAUCGUUUUGUCAGGAAAUAUU
Non-coding RNA from Gasterosteus aculeatus aculeatus (three-spined stickleback), 616 nucleotides. The record is from the annotation of a RefSeq genome assembly. NCBI's taxonomy places the organism in Eukaryota, Metazoa, Chordata, Actinopteri, Perciformes, Gasterosteidae.